Molecule: non-coding RNA, 130 nt
Filed under: Platyophrya macrostoma
Lineage: Eukaryota; Ciliophora; Colpodea; Cyrtolophosidida; Platyophryidae
Source: RNAcentral
CAUCACCGGCGGCGGCUCUCGUGGGGAACUUCAGUCUUGGCGGCGGCCAGCAGACAGCACCACAAGGAGGAGGGAGCGGCAGACUGGACGGGCAGUCGUUGAAAGCAUUGUACCGAUACCGUGCGCGUGC